CCCUUAGACACUCUAGGCGGCACGCGCGCUACACUGGGUGGAAGAACGUGUUACUGCCAUCGAAAGGUGGGGUGAAUCACGAAUUCUUGCCCGUGAAUGGGAUAGUUUGUUGCAAUUUUCGGACUUGAACUAGGAAUCCCUUGUAAGCAUGCUCAAGAAUAGCGUGUUGAAUACGUCCCUGCCGUUUGUACACACCGCCCGUCGUUUCUUCCGACUGAUACUCAUUGUGAGUUGCAAGGAUCCUUCAUUGGAGAAUUGCCGCGAAUGCUUUGUAUUGGAGGAAGAAGAAGUCGUAACA
This 298-nucleotide ribosomal RNA is filed under the name uncultured eukaryote. Its description in RNAcentral is "partial 18S ribosomal RNA". It matches the Rfam family "Eukaryotic small subunit ribosomal RNA", at positions 1470 to 1796 of the family's 1831-position model. The record is from RNAcentral.